This 327-nucleotide long non-coding RNA is filed under the name Apteryx owenii (little spotted kiwi). Its description in RNAcentral is "lncRNA (ENSAOWG00000001128.1)". Lineage: Eukaryota; Metazoa; Chordata; Aves; Apterygiformes; Apterygidae. The record is from RNAcentral.
AUGAACACUUUGCCUGAGAAUGUCAACAGCCAUUUAACUGGAGCCGGGUGUUUUCAGCCAGCUCACUUCUGCCAAGGGUUUUUAUCUAUUAGACAGUGGCUUGUUCAUAUAAAUUAUUUGGAUGCAUGUUCUGCUUGCAAACAAAUUGUACACACCUGCACCUCAGACAGGUCAUCUGCGGUGACCCGAGGAGAGAGGAGGAGGAAGCUGGGAGCUGCUGGGUGGGAUCGCAGCCCGCCGGCCACGUCCUUCCCAGGCUACAGUCAGCAAUUUAAAAGUUCAAACUUCAACAGCGAUUUCAAAGGCAGAAGUUGGAGCAUGCUGUGA